GCUUUCCUGUUUUUGCUGUGAUGAGGUUGGUAGCUGGCAUGAUUGUCCUACUCAUUCUGCUACUGAUUCUGUGGCACUACUGUAACACCAAAGAUUUGUUCUUUGUCAGGUCCAAGGAAACCAAACGGACACGUGCUGAAGAUCAUGUGAC
Molecule: long non-coding RNA, 151 nt
Organism: Periophthalmus magnuspinnatus
Lineage: Eukaryota; Metazoa; Chordata; Actinopteri; Gobiiformes; Gobiidae
Exons: 3
Source: RefSeq, a predicted model, not a curated record